This 73-nucleotide transfer RNA is filed under the name Schistosoma japonicum. Its description in RNAcentral is "tRNA-Glu". The record is from RNAcentral. Lineage: Eukaryota; Metazoa; Platyhelminthes; Trematoda; Strigeidida; Schistosomatidae.
AGAACGAUGGCUUAGUGGCUAAGCCGUUUGAAUUUCAAUUAAUAUGUCUGAGGUUCAAACCCUAGUCCAUUUA